AAAAAGGGGUUGGACAUGAAGGCAUUGGAAGAAGCCUUGGGUCAGAUGCUCCUAACACUUCCUCGGAAGCAACAGUUUACGUUGUUUAUGGAAUGGUUCAGGUGUUUCUCCAAGCAUGGGACUGAAUGCCCCAAUCUCAGCAAAGCAUUCCAGGUAUGGUGGCGCGGAUCAUUCUUAAGAGGCUCAGAAACUUAUGCCAUUG
This 202-nucleotide unclassified non-coding RNA is filed under the name Hevea brasiliensis (rubber tree). Lineage: Eukaryota; Viridiplantae; Streptophyta; Magnoliopsida; Malpighiales; Euphorbiaceae. The record is from RNAcentral.